AUGGCAGUUGACCGCGCCGACAAGGAGAAUAUGCCGCCGGCGACCGCCGCCGUCGCCCGUCCUCAUGGCGUGGCCGUCAAGAGCUGCAAGCUGAAGCGGCUCGGGAGGGCGCGGAGGCGGGUGCCGCUCAGGGACAUCACCAACCUCUUCGUUGCCGAGUCGGCGGUCGCCGAGUGGCAGCAGGCCCUGCUCCAGCAGUCGCACGAGGGGUCGGCGGCGGCGGAGCUGGCCGUGAAGAACGGGCCUGCCGGUGUCGUGGUACUGAAGCCUGGCAGAUACGUGCUCCGGAAAGAGUUUAGAUAG
This 303-nucleotide ribosomal RNA is filed under the name Triticum aestivum (bread wheat). Its description in RNAcentral is "partial small subunit ribosomal RNA". The record is from RNAcentral. Lineage: Eukaryota; Viridiplantae; Streptophyta; Magnoliopsida; Poales; Poaceae.